Molecule: non-coding RNA, 31 nt
Filed under: Mus musculus (house mouse)
Lineage: Eukaryota; Metazoa; Chordata; Mammalia; Rodentia; Muridae
Source: RNAcentral
UGCAAUUUAGUUUUAAAAAAUCUAUUGAUUG